RNAcentral lists this ribosomal RNA (442 nucleotides) under uncultured bacterium. RNAcentral describes it as "partial 16S ribosomal RNA". It matches the Rfam family "Bacterial small subunit ribosomal RNA", at positions 338 to 795 of the family's 1533-position model. The record is from RNAcentral.
CCUACGGGAGGCAGCAGUGGGGAAUAUUGGGCAAUGGGCGCAAGCCUGACCCAGCAACGCCGCGUGAAGGAAGAAGGCUUUCGGGUUGUAAACUUCUUUUAAGGGGGAAGAGCAGAAGACGGUACCCCUUGAAUAAGCCACGGCUAACUACGUGCCAGCAGCCGCGGUAAUACGUAGGUGGCAAGCGUUGUCCGGAUUUACUGGGUGUAAAGGGCGUGCAGCCGGAGAGACAAGUCGAAUGUGAAAUCCACGGGCUCAACCCGUGAACUGCAUUUGAAACUGUUUCCCUUGAGUGUCGGAGAGGUAAUCGGAAUUCCUUGUGUAGCGGUGAAAUGCGUAGAUAUAAGGAAGAACACCAGUGGCGAAGGCGGAUUACUGGACGAUAACUGACGGUGAGGCGCGAAAGCGUGGGGAGCAAACAGGAUUAGAUACCCUUGUAGUC